RNAcentral lists this ribosomal RNA (241 nucleotides) under uncultured Staphylococcus sp. RNAcentral describes it as "partial 16S ribosomal RNA". It matches the Rfam family "Bacterial small subunit ribosomal RNA", at positions 99 to 334 of the family's 1533-position model. The record is from RNAcentral. Lineage: Bacteria; Bacillati; Bacillota; Bacilli; Caryophanales; Staphylococcaceae.
CGGACGGGUGAGUAACACGUGGAUAACCUACCUAUAAGACUGGGAUAACUUCGGGAAACCGGAGCUAAUACCGGAUAAUAUAUUGAACCGCAUGGUUCAAUAGUGAAAGACGGUUUUGCUGUCACUUAUAGAUGGAUCCGCGCCGCAUUAGCUAGUUGGUAAGGUAACGGCUUACCAAGGCAACGAUGCGUAGCCGACCUGAGAGGGUGAUCGGCCACACUGGAACUGAUACACGGUCCAG